ACAGAAUAUGCUAAUAAUAAUAAAAUAAUAAUAUGAUAAUAUAAUAGAAUAAUAGUAUAGAAUAUAAUGAUAUAAAAUAUAUUAAUAGGAUAAUAUAAAAUAGAAUAUAAUAAUAACAGAAUAAUAUAAUAAUAUGAAAAUAUAAUAGAAUAAUAAUAGAAUAAUAAUAUAAUGAUAUAAUAAUAAUAAUAGAAAAAAUAUAAUAUAAUGAUAUAAAAUAUAUUAAUAGGAUAAUAUAAUAAUGGGAUAUAAUAAUAGUAACAGAUAUGAUGAUAAUAAUAUGGUAAUAGAAUAAUAGUAUAAAAUAAUCAGUUUCAUGGCAUAGGAUUGGAAUAAGGAUGAGAGGAGAAUCCCUAUGCGUCCUGUACCUUUAAGAAACAGAAAGAGCAGGAAAGCCCUCUUCCUUCCUUCCCUCCCACCCUCCCUUGCCCUGGCUCCAGGAGCCAAUCAGAACCCUUGGGGGCAAAGGGAGCAGGGCCAGGAAGGGAGCCUUCUCUCGGAAGGAAGAAACGGCAGCGCAGCAGCAGCCACGGAGGCUGGGGAACAGGCAAGGCAAGAUAUGCUGAAGCAGAGCCAACAAUAUACAAAUUGAGCAGAGCCAACAAUGUACAAAUUGAAAACUAUUUGCUGCUUAUCCAUUGCCGCUUACCAGAAGAAGGACAACCGAAACUGGAGUAAACCCGGGAGCCAGUAGUAACCGGACUAUUGCAAUCUACAGCCAGCUACUUAGAAACAGCAUUGUGUUCUCCUAGCUGGGGCUCUUUUUGACAACUACUCAGAAUCAACAUUCAUGCAUAGUUUGUUCCCCAGACUUGGGAUCUUACUCUUGAGAAACUGAACUUACUUCCAAUAGACUGUAAUUUCAAGAGAUAUGCUAUACAUUUGAUGUCAUCAACACAGGAUCUCAAAGAAUCAAAAGAACUUUUGGUCAAGGUUUUUUUUUUGGAACAAGCUUUUCAAUACCUGUGAAGUCUUAAAAGAUAUAUUAACCAAUAUUAUUUUGCAAAGGUUGAAUGUGUUUAUAUUAUUUUGGUUGCCAAAUUCAAUUGAUGUUUAAAUAGUGGAGACUAUUACAGUCUGGAAGAUACUACUGUGGAUUAUAACAGUUGACUGUACUUAUUAUUUUCAUUAUUGUUGUUAACUCUCAGGUAAUAUUGUAUGUAUAUGGUGCUCUGAUUUACAUAGUACAACUUAUGUUUUGAAACUUUAUAGUAUUCGCUUAUCCUUUUUACAUAGAAGGAAGAUAGCUCUAUACUCAGAGAGGCCUGACUAUUUCUGUGGCCUUUGCAAGAUGCUCUAAUAUACACAUCUAUUUUAUGUUUUGAACCUUUAUAGUGUUUGUUUAUCUCUUCGACAUUGUCUUUAAAAAGCAUUUGGAGACUAGAGCCCCAAAUCCUGGCAUCUUCAAGCAAUAAAAGGAUGAACAACAUGGAAACUAGUUUAAAAUCACCCGGGGUGAAAUGUUAGUAUGGGAGCCAAGAUGUGGGUUGUUAUUAGGAGUGUGCAGUUUAUUUAAUCACAUCUUCUUUCAUCAACUUUGCUGGAAGAAAACAGCCUGCAGCAGUUCCUCUACUUUAGUGAAUCCUGAAAGUGCCCCUAGGCUUUGUACACAUCUGAUUGGCUGUGAAGAAAAUACAAAACACUUUUAACUGGCUGAAAGCAUGCAAACAAGAAAAUAAUAACUGGAACUAAUGAAUAAUGAAGCAAAAAAGAACUAAAGUAAGUGAGUGAAAGCACCAAAUGCUGAAUUAUUUAAGCACUCCCAAAAUUGUAAAGUACUGAACAAAUUAGUGGGAAUGGACUUGACAAGGCUUUACAAAAAGGCAC
RNAcentral lists this long non-coding RNA (1827 nucleotides) under Anolis carolinensis (green anole). RNAcentral's name for it is "lncRNA (ENSACAG00000043244.1)". The record is from RNAcentral. Lineage: Eukaryota; Metazoa; Chordata; Lepidosauria; Squamata; Anolidae.